RNAcentral lists this ribosomal RNA (422 nucleotides) under uncultured bacterium. Its description in RNAcentral is "bacterial SSU rRNA". It matches the Rfam family "Bacterial small subunit ribosomal RNA", at positions 355 to 774 of the family's 1533-position model. The record is from RNAcentral.
UGAGGAAUAUUGGGCAAUGCCCGCAAGGGUGACCCAGCAACGCCGCGUGGAGGAUGAAUGUCGUAAGAUUGUAAACUCCUGUUAGAGGGGAAGAAUAGUACCGGUUGGACCGGUAUAUGACUGUACCCUCAGAGAAAGCCCCGGCUAACUACGUGCCAGCAGCCGCGGUAAUACGUAGGGGGCAAGCGUUGUCCGGAUUUACUGGGUGUAAAGGGCGCGCAGGCGGGAUAAAAAGUCAGUGGUGAAAUUCUACAGCUUAACUGUAGAACUGCCUUUGAUACUUUUAUUCUUGAGUUCGGGAGAGAGAGACGGAAUUCCAGGUGUAGUGGUGAAAUACGUAGAUAUCUGGAAGAACACCAGUUGCGAAGGCGGUCUCUUGGUCCGACACUGACGCUGAGGCGCGAAAGCGUGGGGAGCAAACA